This 2284-nucleotide unclassified non-coding RNA is filed under the name Hevea brasiliensis (rubber tree). Lineage: Eukaryota; Viridiplantae; Streptophyta; Magnoliopsida; Malpighiales; Euphorbiaceae. The record is from RNAcentral.
AAGAAUCACUGCGUAAUAACAGGAUAGUGACUGAAAAUAAAAGCAAAUGUAUCACUACUCAACAUUUGAAAACUUGUCCUCUGCAAAGUGCCCAAAAUCAUAUAAUGGAAAAUGAGAUGACAAAAACAUCCACACUGACAACAGAAGAUUCCAUUCUAAAUUACCUAAAUGCUAGAGAAGUAGCCAAGAAAACACAAUAGCUGGAUAUGGGCUAUAUAUAAUAUAAUCCUUGAAAAAUCCCUACUUCUUCUUUCCUCCCUUAGCAGCAUCACUAGCCUUUGUCUUCUUUACUCCGCGAACUUUCUUGGCCCUGUUCUUUCUCUCCUUCAGUUGCUUCCUUGACUUCUCUACUUUAGUGUCAAGUCCAUUCUGCACAAAAAGAAGAAACACUUGAAAGGCAAACAAAAUAACAUUCUAGAGACCAAUCACAACCCAAGAAAUAUAAGAAAGCAUGCAUUCAAUAUGCAUACGAGGAGCAGGCGAGGACAAGAACAAUUACCAAGUCACUUUUAACCGUCAGAUGAACAAUGAAUUAGAUAUAUUGAAAAAUUAUAGAACUUAGAAACACAAUUUUAUUAAGAGACCAAAUGUCAACAAAACAGUGUACACCCAUCAAAUGCACUAAUAACCACAAUCCAAAUUAAAUGAUUAUUUCUAUUUUGAAUGUUGUACACAUUUACGUAUAAGCUCUAUUAUCACCCAAAAAUUAAAUAUUUUUAUUAAAAUAAAAAGGAAAAAGCAAAUGACUGUGAAUCAGAUAAUGUCAACCUCCAUAAUCUAUAAAGGUUUCAGACAAAAUAAGCUAGUUUAGCAGUGAGGUGAACAAAGGCCAAGGCACCAAAAAUGUAGGUAGAAGUGAAAUCUUGGUAAUUUAGCUCUCACAUAGUGCCACUUUGGACCCUUGGAGUUCUUGCCAAUAUUAAUAAAUCAGUCAUCGAUUGGGUUAGAUAGCUUUUUCACACCUUGUGCCAUUGUAAAAUACAAUAGCAUAAAAAAGAAAGUUAACCAAACAAAAUCUGAGACUAAUAAUGAAAGUUUCUAUCCUGAAGAGAAUUAAAUAUGAAAACCUACCCUGAUGAGUCUGUACUUGGGCUCGUACUUCUUUGCAUUCUCAACUGAAUCAUAAAUCAGCCCAAACCCAGUGGAUUUCCCACCUCCAAAAUGAGUCCUGAACUUAAACACAAAAAUUGUAUUGGGAUCCUUCACCUCAUACAAGCUUGCUAGCUUCUCCUUCAGUUCCACCUUGGAAACAUUGGGCCUUCCAGGGUGAAGAACAUCAAUUAUCUGCAUUAAUCAAUAGAAAAAAAAAAUUAAAAUCUACAUACACACCCAGGAUGAAAGCAAAAUGUGAACAAGAAUAUGACAUCAUCAUAAUCCUCUAUCUGCAAAAGCUCAUAAGCGUCAGAGUUCUCGUAAGCAACAGAGUUCUCAUACGCUAAACUAUCAUCAUCAGGAAAAAUAAAUACAUAAAUAAAUAAACAUAGCAUUAGGUCACUAGCAGCCAUCAAAGGUUCAAUUGAUCAAACGUCAAGAAUGAAGAAUUCCAAGAAGAAAAAGUUAAACAAGUCACUGAUUAACAAAUUGAGGAAGAAUAUAAAAUAUUGCCUCAGAGAUCUUGGUGGAUAGGAAUCCUCAAGUGGGUUGUUCAAAACCCAUCAAGAGUAGCAAAUAUUUUCUCACAUCACUGGCCCUGCAGCAAAUAUUGGACCUAAACAAUCUAAUGCAAAACAAAGGGAUACGAAUAAAUAAUUAGACCUGAGCCCCAUUAAAAUACCAGUCUAGAACCCCGUGAAUUAUCAGAUAAAAUGAUUUUAACACAAUUACACAUUAUCAUCAUUUGAAAUCCCACCUAAGACGUGACAAUCAUUUGAGCUUUAACAUCAAUAGCAAUCUUUCUCUACCGAGUAAACUAAAAAAUACAAUAACAAUGGCAAAAUAUGCAAGAUAAUUGAUAUUCAUAAAAGACAAAAUCUUAAAAUCAAUUUCUCCUUUCAUUAUUAGUUUAGGACCUAUAACCCAAUAGAGCCAUAAAACUGAGUAACUGUGCUAAAAGGACGCUAGGCCACUAAGAAAGUGAAGAAAAUUGGCCUGAAAAUUUGAUGCGAGAAAGGAAAAAAUAAGGCUUACAAAUUGCUUCCUGGAUAGGAGCCGGUUGGUCAUGAACUUCCUGGUACGAAUAGUAACCGCCUUGUCCGCCAUGGUUUCAGCGAGAGAAGAUAGCUAAAACCUAGAAGGUAUUUCUCGAGGCAGAGAGGUCAAGUAACAGAGGCAGCAGCAAGCUCAA